Molecule: unclassified non-coding RNA, 1080 nt
Filed under: Leishmania donovani
Lineage: Eukaryota; Euglenozoa; Kinetoplastea; Trypanosomatida; Trypanosomatidae
Description: gene:LdHU3.01.0170(CDS-product:hypothetical_prote in_conserved)
Source: RNAcentral
CUGGAUACGUGUGCACGCGUGAUGGGCACACUCCCCUCUCCGUUCGUCCCCGCGCACUCACUCGUACUUUCUGCCCGUCGACUUGCCGGCUCGGUCUGUUGCGUCACCCGCGGCUGAGGCGCCGACAUCGACGACCAUCAUGGCUCUGCCGGGCGUAUCACAUUAUGAGCGCCUGCCCACGCGUACCAAGAUUCAGUUCUUCUGGAUCUCCAUGCUGACGAUGGGCUUCGCGUACCAGUUUCUCAAGAUGACGGUGCUGCGCGUGCAGCCGAAGCGAGAGGAACAGAUGUACAUGCACAUCCGAAAGGUGUACGGCGACAACAUUCCGGAGGAGCUGCUGCAGCGAGCGAAGCGCCAGCGCGAAGCUCAGGAUGCGCUGACGCUGACGAACAUGCUGCGCACCCCUACACCGGGCCAGACAUCGAACGCGCUGCAGAACGAUCUCGACCCUCGAGCCCUCAUCAAACUCAAGAGCUGGAACGGGCAUUAGCCCACUGUACCCCUCUUCCCACCCCUCCUUCUCCAUGCUACUCUUCGGGUUGGUAAGGCGCGACACACGCGCACGUGUGCUCUCCUCUCCCACCCUCCCUACCCUGCACCACAGCUCUGGUCCUCACAGUGCUGCCGUGAAACUUCGUAUAACACGCAAAUGAACUGAAGCAAGAGCACAUAACAGAAACCGGAGCCAAGGUGCAUGCUUUCGCGGCGAAGCCCCCCCCCCCCCCUCUCCCUCUCCCCCUGUGUGUUCGUGUCUGCGGGUAUGUAGUCCGGCGGAGCGGCACUCGAGAGACAUGAGAAGGGCAUCGGCUGCCAGCUGGAUCUCUGUCACCUCCCCGCCCCAUCACACACGACGGGCCUUAUCUUACCCCCAUCGCCCCUCCUUCCCCCUCCAUUUGUCUGAUCGUGUGUGCUUGCAUGCGUGCGUGCGCGCCCGCUCCGACGCGCACCGACGCACACCACUGCUGGCAAUGCCACGCUGAGUCUGCGUAUCGCUCCUCCACCCCCUCCCCCCUUCUCCUCGCUUGAAUUUCGGCUGCGCGCUUGCGAUCGCGCUCUUUGCGCAUCUCAUGCGGCGUGCAG